RNAcentral lists this long non-coding RNA (672 nucleotides) under Olea europaea subsp. europaea. Lineage: Eukaryota; Viridiplantae; Streptophyta; Magnoliopsida; Lamiales; Oleaceae. The record is from RNAcentral.
AAGAAAUUAUACAAAAAUACAAUUAAAAGUUGGCAGUGGAUCAAAACUAUUACAAAAAAGAAUCACUACGUUAUCCAUCUGUACAAACUAUACACAAAUACAACUACAAGUUGGUUGUGAAUGGCAACUAUUACAAAACAGAAACUACAACAGCUUCCUGUCAUGUCUUUAUAUUUCCACGGUGGUAUAUCAGUUAUUUUGGCCGGACUCUCUGCUCUACAGCAUAGCUGCUACCAGAUUCUAUCUCGAUCAGGAAAUUCCAGUAGAGAUGAAAAAGCAUAUUCCAACUAAAUCUGAAUCGGGAGAUACCAAGGCAGAUGCUUGGGAAAAAGUUGAGAUGGCUAGAAUUAAAUAAAGGUACACUGUUAUUUCCAACUUGUGCGAGGGAUUUAAUGAAUACCCCGUGUGUGAUCUUGUCAGUGCAUAAACAUUUUGCUAAAAUUCUUAUCAAAUUUCUGCAUAUAAUGGAACGAAUUUCAGGUAUGAGAAGCCGAUUGCUACAAUACAAAAUUGGGAGACUAAGAAAAGGAAGGUGGCAAAAUGCAAACUAGAAAGCAUAGAUGUUUACUUGCAUUGCAUAUUCUUUAAACUAAACAUUAUUAAUUAUGUGAUACCGAGAUGACAAUCGAGCAAAUUAAUUUGCAGGUCAAAUUGGACAAGAAAAGAGAAAAG